AAAAAAAAAAACUUAAUGAAUUCUUGUAUGAGGUAAAAUUAGCGGGCGCGCGAUACGUUUUACUAGUUGAUGGUUGUACUAAUAUGGAUUCGAGGGUCGAAGAGUGAGAAACAAGUGAAUAGUAUAUGCUUCUAAUUCAAGGGUUGAAGAGUGAGAAACAAGUGAAUAGUUUAUGCUUCUAAUAUUAUUCCACCUCAACUCUCCUUAAUCUUUUGUUUGUAGUUUAAAAAGGACUUUUUUCGAAAAUAACCCUGUAAAAUUUCGUAUUUGCCAAACUAACCCUGUGAAAUUUUUAUUUGUGAAACUAACUCUCCUCUCGCCACGUGGGCGCCACGUCAGGCAUUCCUCAAAAAGACGGUGAAUCGUUCACCGUCUUUGAUAUUUGUUGUGAAGCCGGUGAAUGGUUCACCGUCUUCAUAAGACGGUAAACCAUUCACCAUCUUUAGUACAAAUCCCUACACUGCGCAAAUCUUUCCAAGUCCAUAAUAUGGUGUCCUUGAUAAGACGGUGAAUCUAUCCCCGUCUUCUCGAGGGCACAGAAAAGGCGGACUUGAGAGAGCGGAAAGGGAAAAGGGCGGAAAGGAGAAUUUUGCACUAAAGGCGGUGAAUGAUUUACCGUCUUCUAAAGACGGUGAACCAUUCACCGCUUUUAUAACAAAUUAUAAAGACGGUGAACGAUUCACCGCCUUUUUUAGGAAUCCCUGACGUGGCGCCCACGUGGCGAAAGGAGGGUUAGUUUUACAAAUAAAAAUUUCACGGGGUUUGUUUGGCAAAUACGAACUUUCACAGGGUUAUUUUUGAAAAAAGUCCGUUUAAAAACGCAAAAACUUAAUAGUCUGAAUUGUAACUUCGUCG
This 855-nucleotide long non-coding RNA is filed under the name Ananas comosus (pineapple). RNAcentral describes it as "long non-coding RNA (ACOM_LNC022864)". Lineage: Eukaryota; Viridiplantae; Streptophyta; Magnoliopsida; Poales; Bromeliaceae. The record is from RNAcentral.